Molecule: ribosomal RNA, 467 nt
Filed under: uncultured bacterium
Lineage: Bacteria
Description: partial 16S ribosomal RNA
Rfam family: Bacterial small subunit ribosomal RNA
Source: RNAcentral
GACGAACGCUGGCGGCGUGCUUAACACAUGCAAGUCGAACGGAAAGGCCCUGCUUUUGUGGGGUGCUCGAGUGGCGAACGGGUGAGUAACACGUGAGUAACCUGCCCUUGACUUUGGGAUAACUUCAGGAAACUGGGGCUAAUACCGGAUAGGAGCUCCUGCUGCAUGGUGGGGGUUGGAAAGUUUCGGCGGUUGGGGAUGGACUCGCGGCUUAUCAGCUUGUUGGUGGGGUAGUGGCUUACCAAGGCUUUGACGGGUAGCCGGCCUGGGAGGGUGACCGGCCACAUGGGGACGGAGAUACGGCCCAGACUCCGACGGGAGGCAGCAGUGGGGAAUAUUGCACAAUGGGCGGAAGCCUGAUGCAGCAACGCCGCGUGCGGGAUGACGGCCUUCGGGUUGUAAACCGCUUUCGCCUGUGACGAAGCGUGAGUGACGGGAAUGGGUAAAGAAGCACCGGCUAACUACGG